GGGUUUAAAGGGUGCGUAGGCGGCUAUUUAAGUCAGGGGUGAAAGACGGCAGCUCAACUGUCGCAGUGCCUUUGAUACUGAAUAGCUUGAAUACACUUGAGGUAGGCGGAAUGUGACAAGUAGCGGUGAAAUGCAUAGAUAUGUCACAGAACACCAAUUGCGAAGGCAGCUUACUAAAGUGUGAUUGACGCUGAGGCACGAAAGCGUGGGGAUCAAACAGGAUUAGAUACCCUGGUAGUCCACGCCCUAAACGAUGAAUACUCGAUGUUGGCGAUAUACGGUCAGCGUCUAAGCGAAAGCGUUAAGUAUUCCACCUGGGGAGUACGCCCGCAAGGGUGAAACUCAAAGGAAUUGACGGGGGCCCGCACAAGCGGAGGAGCAUGUGGUUUAAUUCGAUGAUACGCGAGGAACCUUACCCGGGCUUGAAAGUUAGUGAAUGGAGCAGAGACGCUCCAGUCCUUCGGGACACGAAACUAGGUGCUGCAUGGCUGUCGUCAGCUCGUGCCGUGAGGUGUUGGGUUAAGUCCCGCAACGAGCGCAACCCCUGUGUUUAGUUGCCAGCAUGUAAUGGUGGGGACUCUAAACAGACUGCCUAUGCAAAUAGAGAGGAAGGAGGGGACGACGUCAAGUCAUCAUGGCCCUUACGUCCGGGGCUACACACGUGCUACAAUGGGCAGUACAGAGGGCAGCUACCUGGCAACAGGAUGCCAAUCUCUUAAAGCUGUUCACAGUUCGGAUCGGGGUCUGCAACUCGACCCCGUGAAGUUGGAUUCGCUAGUAAUCGUGUAUCAGCAUGACGCGUGAUACGUUCCCGGCCUUGCACUCAC
This 827-nucleotide ribosomal RNA is filed under the name uncultured bacterium. Its description in RNAcentral is "bacterial SSU rRNA". It matches the Rfam family "Bacterial small subunit ribosomal RNA", at positions 556 to 1390 of the family's 1533-position model. The record is from RNAcentral.